Molecule: ribosomal RNA, 105 nt
Filed under: uncultured bacterium
Lineage: Bacteria
Description: partial 16S ribosomal RNA
Rfam family: Bacterial small subunit ribosomal RNA
Source: RNAcentral
UACGUUCCCGGGCCUUGUACACACCGCCCGUCACACCAUGGGAGUCAAUUGCUCCAGAAGUCCCCUCACCAAGAGAGGCCCAAGGAGUGGUUGGUAACUGGGGUG